CCUACGGGCGGCAGCAGUGAGGAAUAUUGGUCAAUGGCCGGAAGGCUGAACCAGCCAAGUCGCGUGAGGGACGACUGCCCUAUGGGUUGUAAACCUCUUUUAUAAGGGAAGAAUAAAUGCUACGUGUAGCAUGAUGCCUGUACCUUAUGAAUAAGCAUCGGCUAACUCCGUGCCAGCAGCCGCGGUAAUACGGAGGAUGCGAGCGUUAUCCGGAUUUAUUGGGUUUAAAGGGUGCGUAGGCGGUUUUUUAAGUUAGUGGUUAAACGUCGGGGCUUCACCUUGAUUUGCCAUUAAUACUGUAAGACUCGAGUUCAGACGAGGUAGGCGGAAUAAGUGAAGUAGCGGUGAAAGGCUUAGAUAUAACUUAGAACUCCGAUAGCGAAGGCAGCGUGCCGUGCCGCCACUGACGCUGAGGCACGAAAGCGCGGGGAUCGAACAGGAUUAGAUACCCUAGUAGUC
Molecule: ribosomal RNA, 459 nt
Filed under: uncultured bacterium
Lineage: Bacteria
Description: partial 16S ribosomal RNA
Rfam family: Bacterial small subunit ribosomal RNA
Source: RNAcentral